This 465-nucleotide ribosomal RNA is filed under the name Vreelandella stevensii. RNAcentral describes it as "partial 16S ribosomal RNA". It matches the Rfam family "Bacterial small subunit ribosomal RNA", at positions 338 to 795 of the family's 1533-position model. The record is from RNAcentral. Lineage: Bacteria; Pseudomonadati; Pseudomonadota; Gammaproteobacteria; Oceanospirillales; Halomonadaceae.
CCUACGGGGGGCAGCAGUGGGGAAUAUUGGACAAUGGGGGCAACCCUGAUCCAGCCAUGCCGCGUGUGUGAAGAAGGCCCUCGGGUUGUAAAGCACUUUCAGUGAGGAAGAACGCCUGGUUGUGAAUACCCAUCAGGAAAGACAUCACUCACAGAAGAAGCACCGGCUAACUCCGUGCCAGCAGCCGCGGUAAUACGGAGGGUGCGAGCGUUAAUCGGAAUUACUGGGCGUAAAGCGCGCGUAGGUGGCUUGAUAAGCCGGUUGUGAAAGCCCCGGGCUCAACCUGGGCACGGCAUCCGAAACUGUCAAGCUAGAGUGCAGAAGAGGAAGGUAGAAUUCCCGGUGUAGCGGUGAAAUGCGUAGAGAUCGGGAGGAAUACCAGUGGCGAAGGCGGCCUUCUGGACUGAAACUGACACUGAGGCGCGAAAGCGUGGGUAGCAAACAGGAUUAGAUACCCUAGUAGUC